GGACGGAUGGCUGAGUCUGGUUGAAGGCACCGGUUUUGAAAACCGGCGUACGGGAAACCGUACCGGGGGUUCGAAUCCCUCUCCGUCCG
RNAcentral lists this transfer RNA (89 nucleotides) under Planctomycetota bacterium. RNAcentral describes it as "tRNA-Ser". It matches the Rfam family "tRNA". Rfam says of the family: Transfer RNA (tRNA) molecules are approximately 80 nucleotides in length. Their secondary structure includes four short double-helical elements and three loops (D, anti-codon, and T loops). Further hydrogen bonds mediate the characteristic L-shaped molecular structure. tRNAs have two regions of fundamental functional importance: the anti-codon, which is responsible for specific mRNA codon recognition, and the 3' end, to which the tRNAs corresponding amino acid is attached (by aminoacyl-tRNA synthetases). tRNAs cope with the degeneracy of the genetic code in two manners: having more than one tRNA (with a specific anti-codon) for a particular amino acid; and 'wobble' base-pairing, i.e. permitting non-standard base-pairing at the 3rd anti-codon position. The record is from RNAcentral. RNAcentral also lists the same sequence under 1 other name. Lineage: Bacteria; Pseudomonadati; Planctomycetota.